Triticum aestivum (bread wheat) is the source of this 861-nucleotide long non-coding RNA. RefSeq lists it as uncharacterized. The record is from RefSeq and is a predicted model, not a curated record. The transcript has 3 exons. Lineage: Eukaryota; Viridiplantae; Streptophyta; Magnoliopsida; Poales; Poaceae.
UUCAGGUCAGGAGCUUCUGGAACGCUUUAGUCGAUGAUAAAUCAGUUCAAAGUACCAUGUUCUCGAUCAAGAAAGUACAUUGUGAGGGGCGGGCUGAUACAGGGCAAACCCGGUGUAGGCCGAUCUUUCACGUUUGGAGUGGGAUCCCUCGAAGAACACGAUGAACACGGGGAAGAACGGAGAGAAAUCACAAGGGGAAACACUCAAGAACAAGUCCAAUCACACAUCCACUAGACUAUCAAACACACAAAAUCCACAAGGAGAGGUUCUAAAUCUUUUGAGGAAGCACGUGCAGCUGUGUUCACUAAGGAGAACGGGACAUUGGGAGACAUAUGGGGGGUGCGCAUCAUGCUAACUAGCUUUCUGCACGAUUUUAAGAUUUCCUUUGUCAAGUGUUUGUUUAGAUCAGGCUCAGAUUCAGGAUGAUGUUUCCUUGCAUCAUGUUGGUUUAAAUAGUUAAUUUAACUUGCAUGCUCUGGAUGGAGCAUAUUGUGAAUCAUUCACUGCAUGAUACAUUUGUUGAGUCCCGCCAUCAUUUUAUUCUAUCCUUGUAAUUGAAAUUCUCAUCGGUUCGAACUAAAGAAAAUGAUUUGGGGUGAAGAGUUGAAGGCCUGAAGCCAAAUGUUCCUAAUCAGGAAGAUGACCUCCACAACUCAUGUGAAACAAGGCCAACACUAUGUGCAAGAUUGUAUUGCUUCAUGAAGACACUUUUUAUCAUUCAUUUUUAUUAUUCAAAUCUCUAUGGUCGCCAUAGAUGUUGCCAUUACAUGGAUAUAUCACUAUUUUUCAUGUCUUGUUGUAAACAAAACUCCCUCUGUACUGAUAUAUUUGUGAACAGAGGGAGAAGUAUACAUUAAGCUU